GAAGCGGCCACACCCGGCUGGCAACAUCCAGCUCCACUCCGAACCUGGAAAUUAAGCAGUCGCGGGCCACAUCAGUACUGGGCUGGGCGACUUCCCGGGAACGUGCGGUGCUUGCUUCUUUUUCCUUUUGCGCGGUGCAGGGCUAUUGCCCUGCACCAAUACUACACUCUACACUAUGUUUGUCCCUGCUAAAACUCUUAUAUGUUGAGAUAUUUUAUAAUUUAUAUUUUUUAUUAAAAAAUGAAAAUUUUUCAUAAGCGAGACUCCCUCCGCUGGAGGAAAUUGAGAGUGGUAAUGGUAGUGUGAAUAGUGUGUGACGAACAAUCCUUUC
Molecule: ribosomal RNA, 331 nt
Filed under: Trichomonas vaginalis G3
Lineage: Eukaryota; Parabasalia; Trichomonadida; Trichomonadidae
Source: RNAcentral